Molecule: ribosomal RNA, 253 nt
Filed under: uncultured prokaryote
Description: partial 16S ribosomal RNA
Rfam family: Bacterial small subunit ribosomal RNA
Source: RNAcentral
GACAGAGGGUGCAAACGUUGUUCGGAAUUACUGGGCGUAAAGCGCGUGUAGGCGGCAACGCAAGUCGGAUGUGAAAGCCCAUGGCUCAACCAUGGAAGUGCACCCGAAACUGCGUUGCUUGAGUCUCGGAGAGGAAGGUGGAAUGCUUGGUGUAGAGGUGAAAUUCGUAGAUAUCAAGCGGAACACCGGUGGCGAAGGCGGGACUCUGGGCCUACCCUGACGCUGAGGCGCGAAGGCGUGGGGAGCAAACGGG